CAACUCCCCUUUUAUCUAGUCGGUACCAAAAUAUCUUUGCGCCUUUGAUCAAGCUUGAAGCAGACUAUGAUAAGAUGAUGAAAGAGUCGCAAAGUAAAGACAAUGUCACUGUUCACUAGGACAUUGGUCUCAACAAGAAACGUGUUGCAUAUUUUGUUUUCCCAAAGGAAGAUAAUGAGGUGCGACUGGUACCUGGUGAUGAGUUGAGGUUGCGUUAUUCAGGAGAUGCAGCUUAUCCAGCUUGGCAAUUUGUAGGCCAUGUGGUAUGGUUUUUUCCUUCAUUUCUAAUGUUCUCUUUUGAAAAAAAAAAAAAAAAAAAAAA
This is a long non-coding RNA of Ipomoea nil (Japanese morning glory), 322 nucleotides long. RefSeq lists it as uncharacterized. NCBI's taxonomy places the organism in Eukaryota, Viridiplantae, Streptophyta, Magnoliopsida, Solanales, Convolvulaceae. The record is from RefSeq and is a predicted model, not a curated record. The transcript has 4 exons.